Non-coding RNA from Acanthosepion pharaonis, 110 nucleotides. Lineage: Eukaryota; Metazoa; Mollusca; Cephalopoda; Sepiida; Sepiidae. The record is from the annotation of a GenBank genome assembly.
GCUACAUCACGUUUAAACCACCGGUUCCCGAAAGAUCAGCGAAGUUAAGCAAUGUCGAGCCUCGUUAGUACCUAGAUGGGUGACCGCUUUGGAAUACUAGCUGCUGUAAU